GGGGGCGUAGCUCAGUAGGUAGAGUAUUGGUUUGCGCUAACAGACCAAAGGUUGCAGGUUCGAGUCCUGCCGGCCCCA
RNAcentral lists this transfer RNA (78 nucleotides) under marine sediment metagenome. RNAcentral's name for it is "tRNA-Ala". It matches the Rfam family "tRNA". Rfam says of the family: Transfer RNA (tRNA) molecules are approximately 80 nucleotides in length. The record is from RNAcentral.